UAGGGAAUCUUCCGCAAUGGACGCAAGUCUGACGGAGCAACGCCGCGUGAGUGAAGAAGGAUUUCGGUUCGUAAAACUCUGUUGUUAGAGAAGAACAGCGCAUAGAGUAACUGUUAUGCGUGUGACGGUAUCUAACCAGAAAGCCACGGCUAACUACGUGCCAGCAGCCGCGGUAAUACGUAGGUGGCAAGCGUUGUCCGGAUUUAUUGGGCGUAAAGCGAGCGCAGGCGGUCAAUUAAGUCGGAUGUUAAAGCCCACGGCUCAACCGGGGAGGGUCAUUGGAAACUGGUGGACUUGAGUGCAGAAGAGGAGGGUGGAAUUCAGUGUGUACCGGUGAAAUGCGUAGAUAUAUGGAGGAAUACCAGUGGCGAAGGCGACUCUUUGGUCUGUAACGGACGCUGAGGCUCGAAAGCGUGGGUAGCAAACAGG
RNAcentral lists this ribosomal RNA (429 nucleotides) under Bacteroidota bacterium. RNAcentral describes it as "Bacteroidetes bacterium partial 16S ribosomal RNA". It matches the Rfam family "Bacterial small subunit ribosomal RNA", at positions 355 to 776 of the family's 1533-position model. The record is from RNAcentral. Lineage: Bacteria; Pseudomonadati; Bacteroidota.